This 497-nucleotide ribosomal RNA is filed under the name uncultured bacterium. RNAcentral's name for it is "partial 16S ribosomal RNA". It matches the Rfam family "Bacterial small subunit ribosomal RNA", at positions 28 to 507 of the family's 1533-position model. The record is from RNAcentral.
GAUGAACGCUGGCGGCGUGCCUAAUACAUGCAAGUCGAGCGAACAGACGAGGAGCUUGCUCCUCUGACGUUAGCGGCGGACGGGUGAGUAACACGUGGAUAACCUACCUAUAAGACUGGGAUAACUUCGGGACACCGGAGCUAAUACCGGAUAAUAUAUUGAACCGCAUGGUUCAAUAGUGAAAGACGGUUUUGCUGUCACUUAUAGAUGGAUCCGCGCCGCAUUAGCUAGUUGGUAAGGUAACGGCUUACCAAGGCAACGAUGCGUAGCCGACCUGAGAGGGUGAUCGGCCACACUGGAACUGAGACACGGUCCAGACUCCUACGGGAGGCAGCAGUAGGGAAUCUUCGGCAAUGGGCGAAAGCUUGACGGAGCAACGCCGCGUGAGUGAUGAAGGUCUUCGGAUCGUAAAACUCUGUUAUUAGGGAAGAACAAAUGUGUAAGUAACUAUGCACGUCUUGACGGUACCUAAUCAGAAAGCCACGGCUAACUACGUG